This 73-nucleotide transfer RNA is filed under the name Stegodyphus mimosarum. It matches the Rfam family "tRNA". From Rfam's summary of the family: Transfer RNA (tRNA) molecules are approximately 80 nucleotides in length. Their secondary structure includes four short double-helical elements and three loops (D, anti-codon, and T loops). Lineage: Eukaryota; Metazoa; Arthropoda; Arachnida; Araneae; Eresidae. The record is from Rfam by way of RNAcentral.
GCCUUCAUAGUGUAGUGGUCAGCAUGCUCGACGCGUAACCGAGAGGUCCGUGGUUCGAUUCUUGGCGAAGGCG